This 216-nucleotide ribosomal RNA is filed under the name Glomeromycotina sp. RNAcentral describes it as "partial small subunit ribosomal RNA". The stretch from base 40 to 216 matches the Rfam family "Eukaryotic small subunit ribosomal RNA", at positions 686 to 864 of the family's 1831-position model. The record is from RNAcentral. Lineage: Eukaryota; Fungi; Glomeromycota.
GCGCCAGUAGGUUGGUCGUGCCACCGGUACGUACUGGUCUCACUGAUUCCUCCUUCCUGAAGAACCGUAAUGCCAUUAAUUUGGUGUUGCGGGGAAACAGGACUGUUACUUUGAAAAAAUUAGAGUGUUUAAAGCAAGCUAACGCUUGAAUACAUUAGCAUGGAAUAAUGAAAUAGGACGAUCGAUCAUAUUUUGUUGGUUUCUAGGAUUGACGUA